Rhopalosiphum padi (bird cherry-oat aphid) is the source of this 1132-nucleotide RNA transcript. It is a transcript of the gene named cytochrome b-like, with no coding region annotated. The record is from RefSeq and is a predicted model, not a curated record. Lineage: Eukaryota; Metazoa; Arthropoda; Insecta; Hemiptera; Aphididae. The transcript has a single exon.
ACAAAAAAAUAAUUAAUGAAAAAAAAUAUACUAAAAACUUUAUCCCCAAUAUUAAAUUUACCUACACCAGCUAGAAUUAGUUUUAUAUGAAAUUUUGGAUCUUUAUUAAUAAUUUGUUUAAUUAAUCAAAUUUUAACAGGAUUAUUUUUAGCCUUCCAUUAUAAAACAGAUAUUAAUUUAGCUUUUCAAAGAAUUAUUAAUAUAAAUCGAAAUAUUAACUUUGGAUGAUUAAUCCGAUCUUUCCAUGCAAAUGGGGGCUUCUAUAUUUUUUAUUAUAAUUUAUAUUCAUAUUAGACGAGGUAUCUAUAUAAAUUCUUUCAACUUUAAAAUAACAUGAAUUAUUGGAGUAAUUUUAUUAUUAUUAACAAUAAUAACAGCAUUUGUAGGUUAUGUAUUACCAUGAGGACAAAUAUCAUUUUGGGGGGGCAACAGUAAUCACAAAUUUAUUAUCAGCAAUUCCUUAUUUAGGAAAUUCAAUUGUUAUUUGAAUUUGAGGGGGAUUCUCAAUUAAUAAUGCUACAUUAACACGAUUUUUCUCAAUCCAUUUUAUUUUACCAUUUAUUAUUAUUUUAUUUACUUUUAUUCACUUAUUCUUUCUUCAUUUAACAGGUUCUAAUAAUCCACUAGGAAUUAAUAGAAAUUUUGAUAAAAUUACUUUUUCUCCAUAUUUUCUAAUUAAAGAUUUAAUUGGAUUAAUCAUAUUUAUAUGAAUAUUUUUUAUUUUAGCUUUAAUUUUUCCAUACCUACUAAAUGAUCACAAUAAUUUUAUUAUAGCAAAUUCAAUAAUUACACCAAAUCACAUUCAACCAGAAUGAUAUUUUUUAUUUUCUUAUUCAAUUUUACGAGCAAUCCCUAAUAAAUUAGGAGGGGUUAUUGCUUUAAUACUUUCAAUUUUAAUUUUAUUAAUCUUACCUAUAUUAAACAAUAAAAAUUUUUUAAGAAAUAAAUUUUACCCAUUAAAUAAAUUUUUAUUCUGAAUAUUUAUUAUAACAUUUUUUAUUUUAACCUGAAUUGGGAUACAACCAGUUGAAUACCCAUUUAUUACAACAGGGCAAAUUUUUACAACAAUUUAUUUUUCUUACUUUUUCAUUAACUUUUAUAUCAUAAAGUUAUGAGAUAAAUUAUUAAUUUA